UCCCUGGUGGUCCAGUGGUUAAGACUCUGUGCUUCUAAUGCAGGGAGCCUGGAUUUGAUUCCUAGUCAGGGAG
This 73-nucleotide transfer RNA is filed under the name Bos taurus (domestic cattle). It matches the Rfam family "tRNA". From Rfam's summary of the family: Transfer RNA (tRNA) molecules are approximately 80 nucleotides in length. Their secondary structure includes four short double-helical elements and three loops (D, anti-codon, and T loops). The record is from Rfam by way of RNAcentral. Lineage: Eukaryota; Metazoa; Chordata; Mammalia; Artiodactyla; Bovidae. RNAcentral also lists the same sequence under 2 other names.